Nymphalis io (European peacock) is the source of this 1957-nucleotide long non-coding RNA. RefSeq lists it as uncharacterized. The record is from RefSeq and is a predicted model, not a curated record. Lineage: Eukaryota; Metazoa; Arthropoda; Insecta; Lepidoptera; Nymphalidae. The transcript is spliced from 2 exons.
UCUAAUAAUGUCAACACAGUAACCUGUUGAUUAUCCAUUCCUAAUCUAAUGUCAUCAGUUAUUUUGAUCAGAGCCGUAGUCGUACUAUGACCAGGACGAAAGCCAGAUUGUAAAGGAUUCAAUAGGACAUUUUUUGAAAGGUAUUGGUUUAAUUGAUUGUGAAUAAGGCGCUCAAGUACUUUAGACAGGAAAGGGAGAAUGGAUAUAGGACGAUAAUCAGUGUAAGAUGAAGGAUUUGUUUUUUUGGGGAGGGGGAUGACUUGUGCGUCUUUCCAGGAUUCAGGGAAUUCACAAAGGAUAAUGGAUUGGUUUAAAAUAUGUGUGACUACAGGAAUUAUGAUAUCUAGGAUUGGGAGGAUCAUCUUACGACUAAUGCAAUCCGAACCAAUAGCAUCAGAAUUUAUUGCUAAAAUGUUCUUCUUAACAUCACUAUCAGUAAAUUGACUAAAGAAAAAAGGAGAAUUUUCAGAAGUUGAUUUAGCAGAAAUUUCUUUUAAAGUAUUAGACUUCACAGCAGUGUCGAAAGUUUGAGAGGACGAAAAAUGAUUAUUUAAUUCAUUUAAAUUAAUAUUGUGAGUAUUUAUAUUUUUAGAUGAUUUUCCAACUCCUAAGGACUUGAGAAAUUUCCAGACUCUAGCUGACUCCUCUUCCUCAGCUAUAGAUUUAUGGAUAUGGCGUCGUUGACUAUCUCUACAUAGCAUGUUGCAGCGAUUGCGAACCUUCAGAUACUUGUCGCGAUUUGUGUCAGUCGGAUUACACCUAUACUUAGCCUUGGCAAUAUUCUUUCUUACUUGGAGCUUCUUUAUUUCUGGGGUGAGCCAAGGUGCAGGAAGGUGUUUUAGCCGGACAGGACGAAUUGGUGCAUGUAAAUCAUACAGUUGAGUUAAUAGGGAAUUAAAAACUGUAACUUGCUCAUUGACUGUAUCAACAUUUAAAAUAACACUCCAAUCAAUAUUGGCAGCAUCCUCCCGCAGACUAUUCAAAUCCAUUCCACCAAAAUUACGCUGCAGAAGAAUUCUCGAUUUUGCUUUGGGUGGUUUGAUUUUAUAGGAAAGAUAAAGAAGAUCAUGAUAUGAAAAAGCAAGGGCGGAGCACUGCCCAUGCUUUUCAACAUGAUCAACGGAAGAGACCAAAAUUAAGUCGAGAAGAGAAGGGAUAGAGUUAGGGAAGGAAUGAGUAGCAGAUAGGGGUAGGAUUUGUAAAUCUGCACUAUUCAGUACAGAUUUCAACAGACUAGAGCGAUGGUCAUUUUUUAAGAGACAUGUAUUAAAAUCUCCCAUAAGAAUGGUAUGGGCAUACAACGGUUUAAAUUGCUCUAGAACGAUUUCAAAUGAUGAAAAGUAAUCGACCGUGAGGUUAGGACUAUAGUAAACACCUAAUAACAUCUUAAUAUGACCAAAGAUAACCUCAAUAAAAAGGUGUUCAGCCCCUUCAACGGACAGAGGUGUCGAUUGACUUAUAAUUGAAAAUGGAAUGUGAGAACGGAGAUAGAUCGCCACUCCACCACCUGCCCGACCUACACGGUCGUUACGGAUCAAAUGAAAUCCAGGAAGAGAGUAGGAAGUAGAAGACAGUCUGAGAAUAAAGAAUUUAUAGUUUCACCGAGCGAAGGGAUACUAUGAAAGCUGUCAUUACUGCUCAAUCCAUCAGAAGAAAAAGAAAGAAAAGUUUCGUCCAAAUCGUCAUUGUUUCUAGACAUUUUUAAAUUAAAUAUUCAGCAAAUAAAAUAAGUAAAAAUAUAAAGAUAAAUAUAUAAAAUAUAUAUGUAAAAUAAUAAUAAUAUAUAUUAAUUCUAUAAUUACAAAAUAAAAAUAGGUAAAUGAAUAAUUAUACGUUAAUUAAUUUCAUAUGAACACUCACCCGCCAAUUGCCUAGGAAUAAUCACUUAAACACAAACAUAACAAAAUAGAAACAAUAAUAACAUUAAAAACUAACAUUAACAAAAAAAAAAAAAAAU